Unclassified non-coding RNA from Vulpes vulpes (red fox), 180 nucleotides. The record is from Ensembl. Lineage: Eukaryota; Metazoa; Chordata; Mammalia; Carnivora; Canidae.
UUGACAGCUCUGGAAGCUGAAGCCCUUUCUUAUUCCCAUACCAGAUACAGCAUGAGCAGUGGCAGUCACAGCUUCUCUUGGGCUCUUUCAUUCCAGAUGGUUCAGUUCUGUUGUUCUGCCAUUUGCCUCCAAGGAUGAGAAGGUAGUUAGGUUCCACAGCCUGUUUGGUCUAUUUAGUCU